This 27-nucleotide non-coding RNA is filed under the name Rattus norvegicus (Norway rat). Lineage: Eukaryota; Metazoa; Chordata; Mammalia; Rodentia; Muridae. The record is from RNAcentral.
UGUGUGGUCCGGUGAGGAUUUGGAAGG